GCUGGGCUCAGUGGUGCAUGUCUUUACUCCCAGCUACUCGGGAGGCUGAGGCUGGAGGAUUGCUUUAGUCCAGGAGUUCUGGGCUGUAAUGCACUAUGCCAUUCGGGUGUCCGCACUAAGUUCGGCAUCAAUAUGGUGACCUCCUGGGAGUGAGGGACCACCAGCUUGCCUAAAGAGGAGUGAACCAGCCCAGGUCAGAAAUUGAGCAGGUCAAAACUACCAGGCUGAUCAGUAGUGGGAUCACACCUGUGAAUAGCCACUGCACUCCAGCAUGGGCAACAUAGCGAGACCCUGUCUCU
RNAcentral lists this signal recognition particle RNA (299 nucleotides) under Cebus imitator (Panamanian white-faced capuchin). Its description in RNAcentral is "Metazoan signal recognition particle RNA (ENSCCAG00000001541.1)". It matches the Rfam family "Metazoan signal recognition particle RNA". Rfam says of the family: The signal recognition particle (SRP) is a universally conserved ribonucleoprotein. It is involved in the co-translational targeting of proteins to membranes. The record is from RNAcentral. Lineage: Eukaryota; Metazoa; Chordata; Mammalia; Primates; Cebidae.